RNAcentral lists this ribosomal RNA (399 nucleotides) under uncultured bacterium. RNAcentral describes it as "bacterial SSU rRNA". It matches the Rfam family "Bacterial small subunit ribosomal RNA", at positions 28 to 430 of the family's 1533-position model. The record is from RNAcentral.
GACGAACGCUGGCGGCGUGCUUAACACAUGCAAGUCGAGCGGUAAGGCCCCUUUGGGGGUACACGAGCGGCGAACGGGUGAGUAACACGUGGGUGACCUGCCCUCAGCUCUGGGAUAAGCCUGGGAAACUGGGUCGUAAUACCGGAUAUGACUCCAUGACGCAUGUUGUGGGGUGGAAAGCCUUGUGCGGCUGGGGAUGGGCCCGCGGCCUAUCAGCUUGUUGGUGGGGUGAUGGCCUACCAAGGCGACGACGGGUAGCCGGCCUGAGAGGGCGACCGGCCACACUGGGACUGAGACACGGCCCAGACUCCUACGGGAGGCAGCAGUGGGGAAUCUUGCGCAAUGGGCGAAAGCCUGACGCAGCGACGCCGCGUGAGGGAUGACGGCCUGGUUGUAACC